Hydra vulgaris (swiftwater hydra) is the source of this 1964-nucleotide non-coding RNA. Lineage: Eukaryota; Metazoa; Cnidaria; Hydrozoa; Anthoathecata; Hydridae. The record is from RefSeq and is a predicted model, not a curated record.
AAGCGACAAAGUGUUGUUGCUUUCAAGUCAGCAACGUAUUUAUUUAAAAAAAAAACAUUGGUAAAACAUCAUUACCGACAUAUUUUGUGACAGAGCACAACAACAAUGAUAUUUAUGUGUUCAGUUUGUUCGUGUUUGAGCAUUAUUUCAGUGAAGUUAAAGUAUACAAUGGAUCCAAAUGCAUUGCCGUCUACAUUGCAAACCGCAACAACAUUAACAAGUACCCAAAGUUAUUUGAAGCAUUUGCCUUCGCACAAUGUUGCUGUUUUUGGUGCAUCUUGUGAUUUGAGUGGACUAAAUCUGCCAACGAAACAGGAUAUUUUAAGAUGUUUUUUUCUUGGCUGAACGUGCUAAACAAAGUGUUUUUGUAUAAAACAUUUGUACCGCACGUAACAGACAAAUUGAUUGAAAUUUGGGGUCAACUUAAUGUUGAAAUUCUAGCAAAAAAAGUGUUGUUAGAAAAUUGGGUACAUUGAUUGAGAAGUAUCAAAUCGAAACUAAACAUCCAAAAAUCACUACAUUCAGAACAUUUGUGCAAUCUACAAAAGAUAUAUUUUACAUCGGCAAAUGUCAAUGUGACUUAAAGGAAGCAUUAUGCUCAUGUGGAUUGAUUUUAGAUCAUUUGAAAGAGUUCAUGCGAGAUCAAAAUAAUGUCAGAAGAUUGACAAUAUCGGAAUUCGAAGAACCAGCACCAGCGUCAGCAAUAAUAUCAACAAGCGUUAAAGAGAGCCAUUUAGCAUAUGAACCAAGUACCUAAAAUGAUGCUUUAACAAUGGAAAAAAUCGAUGAGAAGUUCCAUGCAAGGAUCGUGAAAGAACCACAUCUAGUUGUUUUGAAGGAACUAAAUUCUCAAUUGAUAGGCUACACAAAAGUCGAAAAUGAAGAUGCUGAACAAAAAUUGAUGACAUUGAAUGCGUUUUUCGUCGAAAAAGAAAUGCUCUCGAUGCAUUAAUUGGCAUAUGCUGUGAUGGUGAGCCAACAUUUCUGACAUAAGAAAUGGGAUUUUGUGUCGAUUUAAAUUGCAUUUGAAUAGACCACUGCAUUGGUUUGUGUGCCUUCUGCACUUUAACGAGUUGCCAUUUUGUCAUUUGUUUGACACUUUGGACAGAUCAUCGACCACUGGACCACGAACAACAACCGGAACAUUGGACAAACAAAUUAAAAUGUGUGAAAAUCUUCCGCUUGUUAAUGAAUUCAAGAUAAUCAUGCUAGAGAACAUGCCACCUGAUUUAGAUCCAUUUGAAUUAUCCACCAAUUUAAAGUAUUUAUACAAAACGCCAAUGCAAUUUCAAAUGGUGUUGUUCCUGCAGAUUUGUCUCACAUUAAACCAGGACCAAUAGCACAUUCACGUUGGCUCACCAAGGCAAAUAGAUUGUUGCGGUUGUAUGUGUCAACUGAAAAUCCAUCAAGGAAUUUGAAAAUUUUGGCAACCUACAUAAUGAAAGUGUAUGUGCCGAUGCACAACAUCAAGUACUAUAAUUCGGUGGCCUUCGGUAGUGUAUUAUUUUACAAAUUCAUUUGUUGGAUACAAUACUUGGAUACAAAUCUACGCAUAGUUGCAAUCAAGAAAAUUUUACACUACCUGUACAACCCGGCACAUCUUAGAGUUUAUCAAAAACCUUUGAAAAACUUUAUUUGUACAGAUUAUACGAAUAUGAUUAAUUUAAAUAAAGAUGAUGUCUUUUUUGAACUACCGUUUACGCAUAGCAUUCGGUAUGAUCAUUUGGAACAAUAUUUGAACCAAGAAUUCCAGUACACAUACAAGCAACGGAAAGACAUGUUCAAUUGCUGGCUAGCGUUUCUAAACGUGUUUUAAAAAAAAGUUGACACAGUGUUUUGGCAGUUACAUCAGAAAGCCAUGCAAAAUACCCCAGACUUAAAAGCAAGAAAGUCUUUCAAAAAUAACUUAUUUUGCUUUUCUUCUACUAAAUUCAUUUUUUUUAAUUUUUUACACAUGUUCUUAU